GAACGCUGGCGGCAGGCCUAACACAUGCAAGUCGAGCGGAAACGAUCCUAGCUUGCUAGGAGGCGUCGAGCGGCGGACGGGUGAGUAACGCGUGAGAAUCUACCCAUGAGUGGGGGACAACCCGAGGAAACUCGGGCUAAUACCGCAUAAGCCCUACGGGGGAAAGCGGGGGAUCUUUGGACCUCGCGCUUUUGGAUGAGCCUAAGUCGGAUUAGCUUGAUGGUGAGGUAAAAGCUCACCAUGGCGACGAUCCGUAGCUGGUCUGAGAGGACGAUCAGCCACACUGGGACUGAGACACGGCCCAGACUCCUACGGGAGGCAGCAGUGGGGAAUAUUGCACAAUGGGCGCAAGCCUGAUGCAGCCAUGCCGCGUGUGUGAAGAAGGCCUUAGGGUUGUAAAGCACUUUCAGCAGUGAGGAAAGGGGUGUCGUUAAUAGCGCCAUCCUGUGACGUUAACUGCAGAAGAAGGACCGGCUAACUCCGUG
Molecule: ribosomal RNA, 485 nt
Filed under: uncultured bacterium
Lineage: Bacteria
Description: bacterial SSU rRNA
Rfam family: Bacterial small subunit ribosomal RNA
Source: RNAcentral